This 29-nucleotide non-coding RNA is filed under the name Cricetulus griseus (Chinese hamster). Lineage: Eukaryota; Metazoa; Chordata; Mammalia; Rodentia; Cricetidae. The record is from RNAcentral.
UGAAGGAGAGAAUGUAUUUGGUGUCUGCC